GAUGAAGAACGUAGCGAAAUGCGAUACUUGGUGUGAAUUGCAGAAUCCCGUGAACCAUCGAGUCUUUGAACGCAAGUUGCGCCCGAAGCCACUAGGCCGAGGGCACGCCUGCCUGGGCGUCACACGCCGUUGCCCCCCCAUCUACUCCUUCGGGAUUGCGGGGGGGCGUAUGAUGGCCUCCCGUGCGCCUAGCCGCGCGGUUGGCAUAAAUACCAAGUCCUCGGCGACGCACGCCACGACAAUCGGUGGUUGCGAAACCUCGGUUGCCCGUCGUGUGCGUUCGUCGCGCAUCGAGGGCUCGAAAAAAUGCUCGGCUCCGGCUGGGCUUUCAACGCGACCCCAGGUCAGGCGGGGUUACCCGCUGAAUUUAAGCAUAUCAAUAAGCGGAGGA
Molecule: unclassified non-coding RNA, 391 nt
Filed under: soil metagenome
Description: partial contains 5.8S ribosomal RNA, internal transcribed spacer 2, and large subunit ribosomal RNA
Rfam family: 5.8S ribosomal RNA (bases 1-122)
Source: RNAcentral